Molecule: long non-coding RNA, 1621 nt
Organism: Vicia villosa (hairy vetch)
Lineage: Eukaryota; Viridiplantae; Streptophyta; Magnoliopsida; Fabales; Fabaceae
Exons: 2
Source: RefSeq, a predicted model, not a curated record
CUUUCUCACCUUCCCUUCACCGUACGUAGAAUCACAUCCUCAUUCUCAAAUUUCAAUGACCAUUUUCAUUCUUUUCUCUAAAUCUAGGGUUAGGAAUUCAAGAUCCGUAUUCAAUUUUAAGAAAAUUUAUGAAACCCUAAACCCCCUUUUGAUUCCGAUUGGAGAUCCAAGAAAAAGAUGAAGAGUACGACAUGAUAAUUUCAGGAACUGGUAUCAAGGAAUGCAUUCUUAGUGGUCUUCUCUCUGUCGAUGGCCUCAAGGUUCUUCACAUGGAUAGAAAUGACUAUUACGGAGGAGAAUCCACCUCGCUCAAUCUUAUUCAGGUCUUCUUUAGGGUAGAAUCAAACCAUUGAGAUUUAGAGGUGAAUUCCUUUCUUUCUUUUUUUGGGCAAAAUAUGUGAGUUUGUAUCUUUCAUCUUAUACAUGAUAGGGAAUGAUGGGCUCAUGUGAUCUAUGUAUCUGACUGCAUCUGGUGGGAAAAUAUCUCUUUGUUCUUUUUGUAUCUAUGCCAUGCCAUGAAUUUACUUGAUAUGAUUUGAUUUCAUUAGUAUUAGAAGCUUUAUGUUUCCCUGAUAAAACUUUUAUGAUCCUUUGCUGUAAAUGCUUGUCCUAAGAAACCAUAAAAGAUGCACAAAGGUGGAUGAGCUGAAAGGUUCUAUCAUUUACUUUUCUUGUCGUAUGAUUAACGUUUUGAGAUUUUGAACAAUAUUAUCUUCCAACUCAUUGAGACAUUUGUUGCAUAUAAAAUCUAGUAUUGUAAUCAGAAUUUUUCAGAGACUAACUUGAACCUUUAUUAUACCAAUUGCUGAUUUGAAAAUGCAUAUGGUUGGGGAAAACACCUUUCUAAAACAAAAAUCCCAUCAUAUAUGAUUGAUGCAAUAAGGUGAUGAUUGCACACAAGGAAGUUGUUGUUCAAGCAAUUGUUGUUCAUCUAUUAACGAGAUUGUCAGAUACACCAUACCAAAUCAUCAUUUUGUGCUUGGCUCUCGUUCGCCACGCAGACAGAGAAAUCCCAUGUAGCAACUUUACCACAUCUUUUUCCACUCAUGCUUAUAUACAAACAUUUUUCACUUGUCUAACAUCAAUUUUCUUGUUGUCAAGGUGCUUCUAUAUUAUGCGACCAACACACUGAAUGCACGUAUUCAAGAGUUUAGAAAGUAGGACUUUGUUAUGCUUAUCUAGUCGUUAGAAACCAGGCCUUUAGAAACCCGCUACUGCCAAAUGAUGAAAAGUAUCUCCAUGAUGGUUGGUUAACAAUGCUAGUGAAGGAGAUGCAUUUAUCAGAAUUUCUACCACAGGUAAGUAACCCAUGUAACAAGAUACAUUUAAUGAAGUGUUUCCUUGAGUAUCAGUUAAGUUUAUGGGUCUAUGGACUUGUAUAGGGUCUGUUCUCUUAAGCAGUGCGUCUAGAUUAAUCUUUAGUUCAACUUGGAUUUGUGGUUAGCAGUAGGCGUCAGAUUUGUGGUUAGCAGUAGGUUUAGUUUUCAUUUCAAAAGGGUUGAGGUUUGUAUCAACUAUGAGUUGUUUAGAGGAAAUGCAUAUGUAAAGGGUGUGAGAAAAUGUGAGAGGCUAUUAUUAAUUUUGUAUAGACAAGUUGGUAUGCAAGAGUUCUUUUUCUUUU